Molecule: ribosomal RNA, 442 nt
Filed under: uncultured bacterium
Lineage: Bacteria
Description: partial 16S ribosomal RNA
Rfam family: Bacterial small subunit ribosomal RNA
Source: RNAcentral
CCUACGGGAGGCAGCAGUGGGGAAUAUUGGGCAAUGGGCGCAAGCCUGACCAGCAACGCCGCGUGAAGGAAGAAGGCUUUCGGGUUGUAAACUUCUUUUAUCAGGGACGAAGCAAGUGACCGUAACUGAUGAAUAAGCCAAGGCUCAAUACGUGCCAGCAGCCGCGGGAAUACGUAGGUGGCAAGCGUUAACCGGAUUUACUGGGUGUAAAGGGCGUGUAGGCGGGAGUGCAAGUCAGAUGUGAAAACUAUGGGCUCAACCCAUAGCCUGCAUUUGAAACUGUACUUCUUGAGUGCUGGAGAGGCAAUCGGAAUUCCGUGUGUAGCGGUGAAAUGCGUAGAUAUACGGAGGAACACCAGUGGCGAAGGCGGAUUGCUGGACAGUAACUGACGCUGAGGCGCGAAAGCGUGGGGAGCAAACAGGAUUAGAUACCCCGGUAGUC